GGGGGCGUAAAGGUUUCGACAGGGAGUGUGAGCUUCGGCAAGCGAGCAGCGGCACUGCAGAACCGCUAUAAAAUCCGCAGAACUUAAAAUUAAAUGACAACUAUAAAACAGUUGAUCUUGUCGCUGCUUAAUUAGCGCAAGCGUUCUUAUCGGAAGCACCACGGUCCUUUAAGAGCGUCGAUUAGUGGUGAACGUGAACGGAGAAGUGCCUUGGUUUCCGUCAUGAAUCAGAGGCUACUGAAAUACAGAGUUUGUCAUCGGACGCUGUGUGGAGGGAAUGUUAAAACGGUGACUGCGCUCGGAGAAAACCGUUGUAAGUGCUUUUUGGACAGGGGUUCGACUCCCCUCGCCUCCA
Molecule: transfer-messenger RNA, 355 nt
Filed under: bovine gut metagenome
Rfam family: transfer-messenger RNA
About the family: Bacterial tmRNA, also known as 10Sa RNA or SsrA, is named for its dual tRNA and mRNA-like properties.
Source: RNAcentral